RNAcentral lists this ribosomal RNA (253 nucleotides) under uncultured bacterium. Its description in RNAcentral is "partial 16S ribosomal RNA". It matches the Rfam family "Bacterial small subunit ribosomal RNA", at positions 524 to 776 of the family's 1533-position model. The record is from RNAcentral.
UACGGAGGGUCCAGGCGUUAUCCGGAUUUAUUAGGUUUAAAGGGUGCGUAGGCGGCCCAUUAAGUCAGUGUUGAAAGUUUGCAGCUUAACUGUAAAAUUGGCAUUGAUACUGGUGGGCUUGAAUGCAGUGGAGGUAGGCGGAAUGUGUAGUGUAGCGGUGAAAUGCUUAGAUAUUACACAGAACACCGAUUGCGAAGGCAGCUUACUAUACUGUGAUUGACGCUGAUGCACGAAAGCGUGGGGAGCGAACAGG